This 253-nucleotide ribosomal RNA is filed under the name uncultured bacterium. RNAcentral's name for it is "partial 16S ribosomal RNA". It matches the Rfam family "Bacterial small subunit ribosomal RNA", at positions 524 to 776 of the family's 1533-position model. The record is from RNAcentral.
UACAGAGGUCUCAAGCGUUGUUCGGAUUCAUUGGGCGUAAAGGGUGCGUAGGUGGCGCGCUAAGUCAGGUGUGAAAUCUCGGGGCUCAACUCCGAAACUGCAUUUGAUACUGGCGUGCUUGAGGACUGGAGAGGAGACUGGAAUUCAUGGUGUAGCAGUGAAAUGCGUAGAGAUCAUGAGGAAGACCAGUGGCGAAGGCGGGUCUCUGGACAGUUCCUGACACUGAGGCGCGAAGGCCAAGGGAGCAAACAGG